RNAcentral lists this long non-coding RNA (810 nucleotides) under Sus scrofa (pig). Its description in RNAcentral is "lncRNA (ENSSSCG00070024815.1)". The record is from RNAcentral. Lineage: Eukaryota; Metazoa; Chordata; Mammalia; Artiodactyla; Suidae.
UGGGAAUAUCCACGCCCCAGUGCCAAUGUCAGGGUGGGCAUACUCGUUCAGUGUGGAUAAGUGAGAGCUGAAGCAAUAAAGCUUAGCUUUGUCUGAUCGCAAAGCAGUGCAGUCUCCUUUCUGUUGGUUGGAAUGACUGCUUAUGAGAACAGGGAUAUAGAAGCAGAACAGGGUUAAAAUCACCUAGGGCGAGGUCAGAGAACGAGAGAACGGAACGUCAAGCAUUUUGCUUCCUCUGCUGUCUUUGGGCAAUGACCACUUCUGAGCAGAUGAGAGAUGGACGGCCACCACUGCAGCUUGAGAGCCACCUCGACACGCUGCCAUCAGGGCAACGCCCUUCCCUCCCCAGGUGUCAUCCUGCCACACCACGUAAUGGCUGAAGGACCACAGAAAAGCCUGCAAUGUCUUCGCCUGCGAGUGUGUCCUGUGGUCACUGCUGGACAGAGCGGGGUUGCUGAUACGGGGAUGUGUAGGUUCCUCUUCCCCACCCAACCUGCUCUCUAAACAAAGAAAACCAGAGACUCCGAGGUUUCCUUGCUGAAGCUCAUCUCACUAAGGGGCAGAAAGAAAACUUGACUGCUGGUCCACUCCCGAGAGCAACAGCCUGAGACGAGAGGAAGGAGGGGGACGUCUGAGACAGUGGUUCACAGUGGAGAGAACCUCAACACCCGCGUGGAAAAGUCAGGAGUAGGUGUGGCUCUAUGACACAACCAGAGUGAUCUGAGCCACUUGCAGGUGCAUCUACCCACUUUGAAUUUUCUUGUGCAGCUUGGCAUUUGCUCUCAAACUCCCAGCCUCCGAAGUCCCGUG